AAAUCCGGGCGCGGAAUUCAAGGGUGUGGCGCGAGCUUCUUAGGAAGCGAAGCAAUUGGAAGUGGAUCCAAGAAAAGCCUCUAAGCUUCAGUUUAACAAUGACCGUACCGCAAACCGACACAGGUGGGCGAGAUGAGAAUUCUAAGGCGCUUGAGAGAACUCGGGAGAAGGAACUCGGCAAAUUGGUACCGUAACUUCGGGAUAAGGUACGCCCUUGUAGCUUGAUGCCCCUGCGGGC
This 238-nucleotide ribosomal RNA is filed under the name Escherichia coli. RNAcentral's name for it is "partial 23S ribosomal RNA". It matches the Rfam family "Bacterial large subunit ribosomal RNA", at positions 1538 to 1777 of the family's 2925-position model. Lineage: Bacteria; Pseudomonadati; Pseudomonadota; Gammaproteobacteria; Enterobacterales; Enterobacteriaceae. The record is from RNAcentral.